RNAcentral lists this ribosomal RNA (253 nucleotides) under uncultured bacterium. RNAcentral's name for it is "partial 16S ribosomal RNA". It matches the Rfam family "Bacterial small subunit ribosomal RNA", at positions 524 to 776 of the family's 1533-position model. The record is from RNAcentral.
GACGAAGGGGGCUAGCGUUGUUCGGAAUUACUGGGCGUAAAGAACGCGUAGGCGGCUUAGAAAGUUGGAAGUGAAAGCCCGGGGCUUAACCUCGGAACUGCUUUCAAAACUCCUAAGCUAGAGUGUAGUAGGGGAUGAUGGAAUUCCUAGUGUAGAGGUGAAAUUCUUAGAUAUUAGGAGGAACACCGGUGGCGAAGGCGGUCAUCUGGGCUACAACUGACGCUGAUGCGUGAAAGCGUGGGGAGCAAACGGG